UACGUAGGGGCCUAGCGUUGUCCGGAUUUAUUGGGCGUAAAGAGCUCGUAGGCGGUUUGGUAAGUCGGGUGUGAAAUCUCCACGCUCAACGUGGAGGGGCCACCCGAUACUGCCAUGACUGGAGUCCGGUAGGGGAGUGUGGAAUUCCCGGUGUAGCGGUGAAAUGCGUAGAGAUCGGGAGGAACACCAGUGGCGAAGGCGGCUACCUGGACCAGCACUGACACUGAGGCGCGACAGCGUGGGGAGCAAACAGG
Molecule: ribosomal RNA, 254 nt
Filed under: uncultured bacterium
Lineage: Bacteria
Description: partial 16S ribosomal RNA
Rfam family: Bacterial small subunit ribosomal RNA
Source: RNAcentral